RNAcentral lists this long non-coding RNA (405 nucleotides) under Mytilus galloprovincialis (Mediterranean mussel). The record is from RNAcentral. Lineage: Eukaryota; Metazoa; Mollusca; Bivalvia; Mytilida; Mytilidae.
CAAACAAUGCAAUUGCCAUUACCAUCAUACCAUUGAUUACCUAAUAAACUACUUUUUCUAAAUUAAUUAAUUUUGAUUUAUUUAAACUCAGGGUUCUCACUAAGGCGAGUCCAUGAGUCCUGGACUCAUCAAAAUCUGUCUGGACUCAUCAUUUUCAAAACUAGUGAGUCCACAGAUGCAUCAAGAUAGAAAUAUUUUGUAUAAACUAAACACAGUUAAACACAAUAUCAUCAUUUUAUAGCAAAAGUUUAAAAGUAAUCUGAAUUUAAUUUCAUUUCAUUGAUCUGUUAGGCCAUGGAGACUUAAAUAUUACAUUAUAUUGCAAUAAAAUAUCUUCUCCUUGCUGUUGGACUCACCAUGGCCAAAAAUGACGAGUCCCUGGACUCGCCUUCAAAAAUCGAGAAC